Molecule: long non-coding RNA, 2301 nt
Organism: Pongo pygmaeus (Bornean orangutan)
Lineage: Eukaryota; Metazoa; Chordata; Mammalia; Primates; Hominidae
Exons: 3
Source: RefSeq, a predicted model, not a curated record
GAACAUUUAACAGCCUUCCCCAAAUCAAACUUUAGUUUCAAAAUUGUCUUCCUUGGCACCUGGCUUUUUGAAUGCUUCAGAGGGCCUCUGAAGUGUCCAGGAAAGAGAGGUAAUUGUGACUCCAUACUAUGGGUCACCCCCAUCAGUUGCAUCCUCCAAACUAGAAAGAGUUAAUUUCCCAAACCUUAAACUACUUGGCUUGGGAUUGGAUUCAGAGGAAGGGAGCUCAGAAGCCCAACAUGCCUGCAAAAAGGCCAUCAAACUCCAAACAGUCAUGCAACUGGAGCCUCUGAAGAUGGCCCCUUCUGCCGCAAACCCUUAGAUCAGCCUCUAGAGAAGCUUUGACUGCUGUUUCCCCAAAACAGCACCCCCUGCCAUCAGGAAGCAGUUAAGAUUGGCCUUCAUCCUUAUCCUUAAUCUACUUCUUUAGAGAGGGGAAUGAGACAGCCAGGUGGGAGGGGGUCCCUGGAGAAACCCCAACCAGCUGCCCACUGAAGUGGAGCCUUGGGGAGUUCAUGCUGUUUGCAGCAGGGAGGAGCUUGGCCCCUCCUUUUCUUGUGUGGAGCUUGGGAUUCAAACUGCCAGGUGGGAAGUGCUCUAGCGGAGGGACUGUGACCUAGUAAGAGUCCCUGUUUUCCCCUUUUUUCCCUUUUCACCCAAUAAAACUCUGCUUUACUCACCCUUUAAACCAUCUGCAAGCCUAAAUUUUUGUGGCUGUGGGAUAGACAAGAACCCCAUCUUUAGCUGAACUAAGGAAAAUCCUGGAACACUAGUGUUGCCGACCUUUGGGGCAUUUUGAAGACUAUUGUAUUCUUUUUUUGUUUGUUUUUGAAAUGGAGUCUUGCUCCCUCUCCCAGGCUGGAGUGCAGUGCACUGCAACCUCUGCCUCCCAGGUUCAAGCAAUUCUCCUGCCUCAGCCUCCCGGGUAGGUGGGAUUACAGGCAUGAGCUACCACGCCCAGCUAAUUUUUGUAUUUUUAGUAGAGAUGGGGUUUCACCAUGUUGGCCAGGCUGGUCUUGAACUCCUGAGCUCAGGUGAUCUACUCGCCUUGGCCUCCCAAAGUCCUAGGAUUACAGGCGUGAGCCGCCAAUUGUGUUCUUUAUCAUACUUCCUGGGAUUCGUAAAUUAAGCAGUAGCCUUCAAUCUUGAAGGAAACAAAAUAGGGGGUCCUGGUCAGAGUCCUGAUGUCCGUGGAACCUCAUGAUCUGCCCUAAUAACACAUCUUUUGAUGUAUUUCUGGCUUUAACCUAAGACUUAGGCAUUUGAUGAAGGGAUGGGAUUCGAGAAUGUGCAGAUUUCAUCAAUGUCAAUAAGUCUGUCUUGUUUUAAGCCCUGUUGUAUAAGUGUCAAUUUGCCCCACAAGAACAGUUACUGAAUGCCACAGUUUCAAAACAAUGCCUAGUCAUAACUUUAAGAACUCAGCAAACAAAAUUAAUCAGACGUUUUUCCUUUCCCUCCCUCCCUCCUUCCCUCCCUUCCUUCCUUCCUUCCUUCCUUCCUUCCUUUUUUCCUUCCCUCCUUCCUUCCCUCCUUCCCUCCUUCCCUCCUUCCCUCCCUCCUUCCCUCCUUCCCUCCUUCCCUCUUUCCCUCCUUCCCUCCUUCACUCCUUUCCCCCUUCCCCUUUCCCUUUCUUCUGAUGUCAGAGACUGGCUACCUGUCUCCCUGGCUUCUUUUGUAGUGAGGGGUAGCCAUGUGGCUGAAUUCUGGCCAAAGCCUUCCAGGCCUGUUUCUCCUUCCCCCUCCCUGCCAGCUGGAUGCAGAGGACUCCAAGAUACAUGGGAGGAUGGAGACCUAUUUUGAAUAGAUCUUGGGUCUCUGAAUGAUUAUGGGCUUUUGGCCUGAGUGAGAAAUGAACAUAUAUUAUAUUAAGCCUUUGAUUUUUGUGAUUUAUUUUCAAUAGCAUCUAGCAUUACCUUAAUGAAUAAACAUCCUCAAUUUCUGUUGAAUUUAAAAUUUGAAAAAUAGGCAAUAUAGUUGCAUUGUUCAAAAAUCAAAACAAUAUGAAAGCCGCACAUUGACAGUCUCACUUCCACUCUAUUCUGUCCACCCUGCUCCAUGCUCUUGUUUCCCAGCCCUAUGGUGAACUGCUUUAACAGUUUCUUGGAUCUCUUUCCAAUAUUUGUUUAUGCAUAUAAUACAAAAAGUACAUGUCAAUAAUGUAUAUGAAUAUAUUCUUUUCUUCCCUUCAUAGCUCAAAGGUAGCAUACUAUUCAGACUGUUUUGUAUUUUGCUUCUUUUGCAUGACAAAAUCUCCUGAUGACCUUUCCAUUGUGGUGUAUAAAAGACUUCUCACUCUUUCAU